RNAcentral lists this ribosomal RNA (272 nucleotides) under uncultured archaeon. RNAcentral's name for it is "partial 16S rRNA". It matches the Rfam family "Archaeal small subunit ribosomal RNA", at positions 1047 to 1325 of the family's 1478-position model. The record is from RNAcentral.
GAGACCCGCAUCCCCCGUUGCUAUUGGCCUUGAGUCAAGCACACUGGGGAUACCGCCGUCGAUAAGACGGAGGAAGGAGCGGGCCACGGCAGGUCAGUAUGCCCCGAAUCUCCCGGGCCACACGCGAGCUGCAAUGGCAGGUACAAUGGGCUCCGACCUCGAAAGGGGGAGGCAAUCCCGAAAACCUGCCGUAGUUGGGAUCGAGGGUUGUAACUCACCCUCGUGAGCAUGGAAUCCCUAGUAAUCGCGUGUCAUUAUCGCGCGGUGAAUAC